UUUAUGUGCAUAACCCUCUGAACCAGCCCAGCAGCCCAGUGUCACCUUCUGCUACACAGAAAGAGAGAAGGGAAGGUUGUGCAAGAAGAGAUGCUUUAGCUUUCCUUUCAAUUUUUUUUCUUCCUCACUCCCCUAUUGGAAGGAAAGAAAAUACAAGCACAAAGAAGGUACCACUUAUUUUACCAAAACUUCAAAAGACACCAAAUCCAGAUGAAUCUCAAAAUUUAUCGUGACUCCCAGCAGGCCCAGCAACAGUGAGGAAGAAGCUGCCCAGCAGUAGCUUUAGCCCUCCCGCAGGAUAAACACUCACCAAGUCUGAGUGCUUGGAUGGCCAAAAUCACCCCAGUCAGGCCUCUGAACCAACCAAAUAACUCAAUCAACAACAA
Macaca mulatta (Rhesus monkey) is the source of this 386-nucleotide long non-coding RNA. RefSeq lists it as uncharacterized. Lineage: Eukaryota; Metazoa; Chordata; Mammalia; Primates; Cercopithecidae. The record is from RefSeq and is a predicted model, not a curated record.